CUGGAGUUAAGAGUGUGCUCUUCUGCGCUGUUUUCCACUCCCUGCUCUUGUGUUAUGUCUGUUUUAACUCCUCAUCUCCUGGUUGACACCCAUACCGAUAAGAAAGUUAGUGAAGCACUACGAUUUGCUAAAAGUUAUCUACAAUAAGGGGGGUAGAUGUGCAU
Long non-coding RNA from Chelonia mydas (Green sea turtle), 164 nucleotides. RefSeq lists it as uncharacterized. The transcript is spliced from 3 exons. The record is from RefSeq and is a predicted model, not a curated record. NCBI's taxonomy places the organism in Eukaryota, Metazoa, Chordata, Testudines, Cheloniidae.